GUUUCUUUUUAUAUCCUAGCUCCUUUACAAAGAAGUUACUUCUGAAAGAAGCAAAGAGCACAUUACGGUGAGAAGCAUGAAAUGGAUUUUCCUGAAACAUAAAAGCAAA
Molecule: long non-coding RNA, 109 nt
Filed under: Mustela putorius furo (domestic ferret)
Lineage: Eukaryota; Metazoa; Chordata; Mammalia; Carnivora; Mustelidae
Description: lncRNA (ENSMPUG00000028383.1)
Source: RNAcentral